UUGUAUGAUGAUCAAUUUUUAACCCCGAGUACUUCGUUCAAUGAAGAACAAAACUACGCAACAACACUCUAAUUUUUUACUGACU
This is a small nucleolar RNA of Cladophialophora yegresii CBS 114405, 85 nucleotides long. It matches the Rfam family "A. fimigatus snoRNA Afu_298". NCBI's taxonomy places the organism in Eukaryota, Fungi, Ascomycota, Eurotiomycetes, Chaetothyriales, Herpotrichiellaceae. The record is from Rfam.